Molecule: ribosomal RNA, 1207 nt
Filed under: Scleropterus serratus
Lineage: Eukaryota; Metazoa; Arthropoda; Insecta; Coleoptera; Curculionidae
Description: partial 16S ribosomal RNA
Rfam family: Archaeal large subunit ribosomal RNA (bases 1053-1207)
Source: RNAcentral
UAAAUUAUUUAUUAUUAAAAUUAUUAGAAUAAAGAAAUAAAAAUAAAAAAAAUAAUUAUUAUUUUAUUAAUUUGUAUGAAUAAAUAUUAUUUAAUGAUAGAUAAUUAGUAUUGUGAAAGAAUUAGUGAUAUUAAUUUAAAGAAUAAUCUAUUUUUAGUACCUUGUGUAUCAGGGUUUAUUUAUUAAAAUUUAUUAAAAUUAAAUUUCUCGAAUUUAAAAGAGUUAUAUUUAUAUAUUUUUUAUUGUAGAAUAAAUAAUAUGAAUAUAGGUAUAGAAGUGAAAUAUUAUUCGAUUUUAAAUAUAUCUAGUUUUUAAAGAAAAAAAUUUAAUUUUAUUUUUAUAUUAUUAUUUAUUUAAGUUUUUAAAUAAAUAGUGCAGUAAAAUUUUAUAUUUUAGGGGAUGAGCUUUAAAAUAAAUUAAUAUAAAUUUUGUUAUUUUUAUUUAGUAAGUAGAAUUAUAAGUUUUUAUCUUUAAUAGUGUUUUAUAACUAUCUAAAUUUAGAAUAUUUUUUAUAUGAAAGUUUUAUGUAUUUUAUUUAAAUAUAAAUUUAAAUUUAAUAGGUUUAGUAAUAAUGAUAAAAUUAGUAUAAUUUUUUGUUUUAUUUUAAUUUUUAUUAAAGGUUUAAUAAAGGAAUUCGGCAAAUACAUUUUUCACCUGUUUAUUAAAAACAUGGCCUUUUGAUAUUAAUUUAAGGUCUGGCCUGCCCUAUGAGUUUUAAAUGGCCGCAGUAUUUUGACUGUGCAAAGGUAGCAUAAUCAUUAGUUUUUUAAUUGAAAGCUGGAAUGAAAGGUCGGAUGAGAAAAUAGCUGUCUCUAUUAAAAUUAAUUAAAAUUUUAUUUUUAAGUAAAAAAGCUUAAAUUUAAAUAGAAGACGAGAAGACCCUAUAGAGUUUUAUAUAUAGAUGAUAUAAAUUUUUUAGUAUUUAAAACUUUGUUUUAUUUAUGUAUUUAAUUGGGGUGAUUGGAAAACUAAAUAAACUUUUUUUUUAUAAUUUCAUUGAUAAAUGAUAAAAUGAUCCUUUUUUUAAGAUUAUAAGAUAAAAUUACCUUAGGGAUAACAGCGUAAUUUUUUUUGAGAGCUCUAAUCGAAAGAAAAGAUUGCGACCUCGAUGUUGGAUUAAAAUAAAUUUUUGGUGUAGAAGCUAAAAUAAUUAGGUCUGUUCGACCUUUAAAAUUUUACAUGAUCUGAGUUUAAACCGGUGUGAGCC